Molecule: ribosomal RNA, 440 nt
Filed under: uncultured bacterium
Lineage: Bacteria
Description: partial 16S ribosomal RNA
Rfam family: Bacterial small subunit ribosomal RNA
Source: RNAcentral
CCUACGGGAGGCAGCAGUGAGGAAUAUUGGUCAAUGGACGUAAGUCUGAACCAGCCAAGUCGCGUGAAGGAAGAAUUCUUUCUGUACGUAAAACUCUAUCAACAGGGGAGAAAAUUGCUGUACCUGACUGAUCAUCCCCGGCUCACUCGGGUCCGGCCGCCGCAGUAAUACGUAGGGAGCCAGCGUUAUCCGGAUUUACUGGGUGUAAAGGGAUCGUAGACGGAAGCUAAAGUCUGAAGUGAAAGUCUACGGCUGAACCCUGGAAUUGCGUUGGAAACUGUGAAACUGGAGUGCAGGAGAGGUAAGCGGAAUUCGUAGUGUAGCGGUGAAAUGCUUAGAUAUCAGGAGGAACACCAGUGGCGAAGGCGGCUCACUGGACUGCAACUGACGUUGAGGCUCGAAAGUGUGGGGAGCAAACAGGAUUAGAUACCCGAGUAGUC